GAUGAACGCUGGCGGCGCGCCUAACACAUGCAAGUCGAACGAUUAAAGCAUCUUCGCGUGUUUCUCAAGUGGCGAACGGCUGAGUAACACGUGGGCAACCUGCCCCUUUCAUCGGGAUAGCCACGGGAAACCGUGUCUAAUACCGAAUACUUCUCGACUUCCGCAUGGUAGUUUCGAAAAAUCUCCGGCGUAGAGGGAUGGCUCCGCGGCAUGUUAGCUUGUUGGGGGGGUAGCGUCCUACAAAGGCAAGGAGGGGUAGCGGGGUGGAGAGACCGACCGGCCAGAUGGGGAUUGAGAAACGGCCCAGACUCCAACGGGAGGAAGCGGUGGGAAAUGUGGAACAAGGGGGGAAAGCCGGAUGCAGCAACGCGGGGUGCGGGAGGAAGGCCUUCGGGUGGUAAACCGCUUUCAGCAGGAAGGAGGCGAAAGUGACGGUACCUGGAGAAGAAGCACCGGCUAACUACGUG
RNAcentral lists this ribosomal RNA (467 nucleotides) under uncultured bacterium. Its description in RNAcentral is "partial 16S ribosomal RNA". It matches the Rfam family "Bacterial small subunit ribosomal RNA", at positions 28 to 507 of the family's 1533-position model. The record is from RNAcentral.